GGGGAUAUAGUUCAGUUGGUAGAGUGCUUGCUUUGCAUGCAAACCCUGGGUUCGGUCCCCAGCACCACA
RNAcentral lists this transfer RNA (69 nucleotides) under Marmota monax (woodchuck). Its description in RNAcentral is "tRNA.Ala". The record is from RNAcentral. Lineage: Eukaryota; Metazoa; Chordata; Mammalia; Rodentia; Sciuridae.